This is a non-coding RNA of Podarcis lilfordi (Lilford's wall lizard), 76 nucleotides long. The record is from the annotation of a GenBank genome assembly. NCBI's taxonomy places the organism in Eukaryota, Metazoa, Chordata, Lepidosauria, Squamata, Lacertidae.
GCUUACUGGGUAGCUCAGUCAGUCGAGCACGAGACUCUCAAUCUCAGGCUUGUGGGUUCGAGCCCCACGUUGGGCA